RNAcentral lists this ribosomal RNA (406 nucleotides) under uncultured bacterium. RNAcentral's name for it is "partial 16S ribosomal RNA". It matches the Rfam family "Bacterial small subunit ribosomal RNA", at positions 30 to 526 of the family's 1533-position model. The record is from RNAcentral.
AUUGAACGCUGGCGGCAGGCCUAACACAUGCAAGUCGAACGAGUGGCGGACGGGUGAGUAAUGUCUGGGAAACUGCCUGAUGGAGGGGGAUAACUACUGGAAACGGUAGCUAAUACCGCAUACCAUCGGAUGUGCCCAGCUGGGAUUAGCUAGUAGGUGGGGUAACGGCUCACCUGGGCGCCGAUCCCUAGCUGGUCUGAGAGGAUGACCAGCCACACUGGACCUGAGACACGGUCCCGACGCCUACGGGAUGCAGCAGUGGGGAAUAGUGCACAAUGGGCGCAAGCCUGAUGCAGCCAUGCCGCGUGUAUGCAGAAGGCCUUCGGGUUGUAAAGUACUUUCAGCGGGGAGGCGUUAGCCGCAGAAGAAGCACCGGCUAACUCCGUGCCAGCAGCCGCGGUAAUAC